GCCCGCGUGGCUCAGUGGUAAAGCGUGGCUCUCGUAAUAUUAUGAGUUCAAGCUAAGAUCGAGUGUUCGAUUCACUCCGUGGGCA
Molecule: non-coding RNA, 85 nt
Organism: Atractiella rhizophila
Lineage: Eukaryota; Fungi; Basidiomycota; Atractiellomycetes; Atractiellales; Hoehnelomycetaceae
Source: the annotation of a GenBank genome assembly